Long non-coding RNA from Vespa velutina, 808 nucleotides. RefSeq lists it as uncharacterized. NCBI's taxonomy places the organism in Eukaryota, Metazoa, Arthropoda, Insecta, Hymenoptera, Vespidae. The record is from RefSeq and is a predicted model, not a curated record. The transcript is spliced from 4 exons.
CGUCUGGGUUGCGGGAGCGUGAGCGAAACGAUCGUAUGGGCGGAGCCGGUGCAGCCUCCCGAGGAUAUUUCCCCAGGAAUUUGCAUACAAUCCUUUUGGAGCGAUAGCGAUACACUCUCGACGACUGAUCCCCAACUUUAUUGCGUGGAAAAAGAUAAUAGAUGAGAGACUGAGAGAAUAAGAAAGAUAGAUAAAUAGAUAGAUAGAUAGAGAGAGAGAGAGAGAGAGAGAGGGAGAAAGAAAGAGAGAGAAAGAAAGAAAAAGUGUAACGAAAUACUUCGUGGAGAUCGACGACGAUGACGACGAUGAUGAUGAUAAUGCACCGUACAAAGAGCCACCACCGCACGCUCGAGAACCCAAGCGAGCACUGCUCGCGCCAACAGGUGAGCUUCGGCCUCAGCCACCGCCGACGAUUUAGUCCAGUGACGUAUCAACCGGUGUGGCGUCCUUAACAAGGGCAACAGAUGGCGCUAUCUAUAACAUUCAUCGAUUCUAUAUUUUGUUUUGAACAAUUUUGAUAACACGCAUUUAAUUUUGUAUAAGAGCAAAGAAAUAUAUUCAACAUAUGAAAAAAUUUGACGAGUUUUGAUAAGUAAAUGCAAUUUGAAUCGAUAAUAAACAAUAUGUACAAGAGUUUCGCGUUUACAAAGGCACUCGUUCAAUCCUAAAGCUUAUACGAGUUAAAUAUAUAUAUAACAACACUUAUAUCACUUAAUAUAUUCGUUAUUAUAAUGAUUUUUGCAAAUUUAUGACAACUUUUUAAUAGUUUUAUUGUACACUCUUAACAUGAGCUGCGGUGUCCGAGUGG